Long non-coding RNA from Chelonia mydas (Green sea turtle), 509 nucleotides. RefSeq lists it as uncharacterized. The record is from RefSeq and is a predicted model, not a curated record. The transcript is spliced from 2 exons. NCBI's taxonomy places the organism in Eukaryota, Metazoa, Chordata, Testudines, Cheloniidae.
GGGGAAGGACAGGGAGAGGGCAGGAGAGAAGGAAUGGAUGGAGAAUCAUGGCCGGGUGACACAUAGCUUCAGCAGACCAUGCCAUCAAGACAGCAGCAGACUGAAUAAAACCACAAAUGAAUCCAUCACAAGAUAAUGUUAGGGUAUUUAUUUUCAAAUAAUCAACGUAAAUUUAGGGCACUCUGCCAUGGAUGGCAUACUGUGAAUAAAUCUUCAAAACUGAAUGAUUACAUUGAAAAUGUUCAUAACACAUCACGUUUAAAACAAAAAGUAGUCCUAGCAAUGCCAUGUGAUGUGCCUCCCAUCACACUCUGCUCAGCCAGCUCUUCAAGAUAUUAGGUUCAAUCGCUAACAUCAAGGAAUUGGACCAAUCGGUCACUAUUUUUACAGAGCAUUCCAGAAGGUGGUGGACAGAACCCAGAGGAAUUGUGAUGAAUUUCCUGGAGCAACUUUCUUUUCUUUGUACUCUAAACCUCACAUGACAACAAAAAUAGCACCCUUUCGACUGA